Molecule: ribosomal RNA, 253 nt
Filed under: uncultured bacterium
Lineage: Bacteria
Description: partial 16S ribosomal RNA
Rfam family: Bacterial small subunit ribosomal RNA
Source: RNAcentral
UACGGAGGGUGCGAGCGUUGUCCGGAAUCAUUGGGCGUAAAGGGCGCGUAGGCGGCUUCUCAAGCGUACGGUGAAAGUCAGGGGCUCAACCCCUGAUCGGCCGUGCGAACUGGGGGGCUGGAGCACUGUAGAGGCAGGCGGAAUUCCGGGUGUAGCGGUGGAAUGCGUAGAGAUCCGGAAGAACACCGGUGGCGAAGGCGGCCUGCUGGGCAGUGGCUGACGCUGAGGCGCGACAGCGUGGGGAGCAAACAGG